RNAcentral lists this unclassified non-coding RNA (336 nucleotides) under soil metagenome. Its description in RNAcentral is "partial contains 5.8S ribosomal RNA, internal transcribed spacer 2, and large subunit ribosomal RNA". The stretch from base 1 to 120 matches the Rfam family "5.8S ribosomal RNA", at positions 35 to 154 of the family's 154-position model. The record is from RNAcentral.
GAUGAAGAACGUAGUGAAAUGCGAUAAGUAAUGUGAAUUGCAGAAUUCAGUGAAUCAUCGAAUCUUUGAACGCACAUUGCGCCCGCCAGUACUCUGGCGGGCAUGCCUGUUCGAGCGUCAUUUCAACCAUCAAGCCCCCGGCUUGUGUUGGGGACCUGCGGCUGCCGCAGGCCCUGAAAACCAGUGGCGGGCUCGCUGUCACACCGAGCGUAGUAGAUUUUCAUCUCGCUCAGGGCGUGCUGCGGGUUCCGGCCGUAAAAAGCCUUAUUUACCCAAGGUUGACCUCGGAUCAGGUAGGAAGACCCGCUGAACUUAAGCAUAUCAAUAAGCGGAGGA